CGCUGGCGGCAGGCCUAACACAUGCAAGUCGAGCGGAUGAAGGGAGCUUGCUCCUGGAUUCAGCGGCGGACGGGUGAGUAAUGCCUAGGAAUCUGCCUGGUAGUGGGGGAUAACGUCCGGAAACGGGCGCUAAUACCGCAUACGUCCUGAGGGAGAAAGUGGGGGAUCUUCGGACCUCACGCUAUCAGAUGAGCCUAGGUCGGAUUAGCUAGUUGGUGGGGUAAAGGCCUACCAAGGCGACGAUCCGUAACUGGUCUGAGAGGAUGAUCAGUCACACUGGAACUGAGACACGGUCCAGACUCCUACGGGAGGCAGCAGUGGGGAAUAUUGGACAAUGGGCGAAAGCCUGAUCCAGCCAUGCCGCGUGUGUGAAGAAGGUCUUCGGAUUGUAAAGCACUUUAAGUUGGGAGGAAGGGCAGUAAGUUAAUACCUUGCUGUUUUGACGUUACCAACAGAAUAAGCACCGGCUAACUUCGUGCCAGCAGCCGCGGUAAUACGAAGGGUGCAAGCGUUAAUCGGAAUUACUGGGCGUAAAGCGCGCGUAGGUGGUUCAGCAAGUUGG
This 562-nucleotide ribosomal RNA is filed under the name Pseudomonas sp. CS2. RNAcentral describes it as "bacterial SSU rRNA". It matches the Rfam family "Bacterial small subunit ribosomal RNA", at positions 34 to 591 of the family's 1533-position model. Lineage: Bacteria; Pseudomonadati; Pseudomonadota; Gammaproteobacteria; Pseudomonadales; Pseudomonadaceae. The record is from RNAcentral.